CCCCUCUCAGGAUCACACCUGGAGAGUUUCCAGGACUCUACUAGUCUCAGCUACGGAAGGGAGAAUCAAGCAGAGGCGUACCCAUUUCAUUCCUAGCUUGGACAGUGGCUAGCGAAUGAAAGGCAAUCUGCUACAAUU
Ornithorhynchus anatinus (platypus) is the source of this 138-nucleotide non-coding RNA. The record is from Rfam. Lineage: Eukaryota; Metazoa; Chordata; Mammalia; Monotremata; Ornithorhynchidae.